This 642-nucleotide ribosomal RNA is filed under the name uncultured Lyngbya sp. RNAcentral's name for it is "bacterial SSU rRNA". It matches the Rfam family "Bacterial small subunit ribosomal RNA", at positions 111 to 787 of the family's 1533-position model. Lineage: Bacteria; Bacillati; Cyanobacteriota; Cyanophyceae; Oscillatoriales; Microcoleaceae. The record is from RNAcentral.
UAACGCGUGAGAAUCUAGCUUCAGGUUCGGGACAACAGAGGGAAACCGCUGCUAAUACCGGAUAGGCCGAAAGGUAAAAGAUUAAUCGCCAGAAGAUGAGCUCGCGGCCGAUUAGCUAGUUGGUGGGGUUAUAGCCUACCAAGGCGACGAUCGGUAGCUGGUCUGAGAGGACGAUCAGCCACACUGGGACUGAGACACGGCCCAGACUCCUACGGGAGGCAGCAGUGGGGAAUUUUCCGCAAUGGGCGAAAGCCUGACGGAGCAAGACCGCGUGAGGGAGGAAGGCUCUUGGGUUGUAAACCUCUUUUAUCAGGGAAUAAUCAAUGAAGGUACCUGAGGAAUCAGCAUCGGCUAACUCCGUGCCAGCAGCCGCGGUAAUACGGAGGAUGCAAGCGUUAUCCGGAAUCAUUGGGCGUAAAGCGUCCGCAGGUGGUAGUUCAAGUCGAUUGUCAAAGGCAGUAGCUUAACUACUGACAGGCAGUGGAAACUGAAAGACUAGAGUGCGGUAGGGGUAGAGGGAAUUCCCGGUGUAGCGGUGAAAUGCGUAGAGAUCGGGAAGAACACCAGUGGCGAAAGCGCUCUGCUGGACCGGCACUGACACUGAGGGACGAAAGCUAGGGGAGCGAAUGGGAUUAGAUACCC